CUAAGGAAAACAUGACUUAAGAAGUCGAGCACUUUCGAAAGAAAGUUGCAAAACCAAGCGUUUUCGAAAGAAAAUCGCUCACUUGUAUUAAACCACUCAUCAUAUUCAGUUUUGAAAGACUUAUUUGUCUUUUAAAUAAGGGCCUAUAGCUCAGCUGGUUAGAGCGCACGGCUGAUAACCGUGAGGUCGAUGGUUCGAGUCCAUUUAGGCCCACCAUUUAAGUGGCUCACUCAGAUAAGAGCAAACCCUUAAAUAUUAACAAUCAUACAUAUUGAUUGAGAUCUUUGAAAAGUAGAUAAAUUCUGUCGUAAGGU
Molecule: unclassified non-coding RNA, 314 nt
Filed under: Paracholeplasma morum
Lineage: Bacteria; Bacillati; Mycoplasmatota; Mollicutes; Acholeplasmatales; Acholeplasmataceae
Description: Acholeplasma morum 16S-23S ribosomal RNA intergenic spacer
Rfam family: tRNA (bases 140-213)
Source: RNAcentral